Molecule: ribosomal RNA, 339 nt
Filed under: Triticum aestivum (bread wheat)
Lineage: Eukaryota; Viridiplantae; Streptophyta; Magnoliopsida; Poales; Poaceae
Description: partial small subunit ribosomal RNA
Source: RNAcentral
AUGAAUAGUAACAGGGCCCCUGGCUCGGAUAGCAUUCCGGCCGAGUUUUACCAACAUUGCUGGGAGAUAGUAAAAAAUGACAUCAUGAGUCUGUUUCAUGCUUUUCAUGAGGGGAAACUGGAUGUUUAUAGGUUGAACUAUGGCAUCAUUACUCUUCUUCCUAAGAUUUCUGGAGCAGAUAAGAUUCAACAAUUCAGGCCAAUAUGUCUGUUGAGAUGCCCUUAUAAACUGAUUACAAAAGUCCUAGACAAUAGAGUGGCCCUUUUUGCUGAUAUUUUAUUCAGCAAACAUCAAAAUGCCUUUAUCAAAGGCAGGAACAUUAUGGAUGGGGUCCUAUCU